ACCUGGGUGGCUCAGUUGGUUGGGCAUCUGACUUCAACUCAGAUUGUGAUCUCAGGGUUCGUAGGUUCGAGCCCCGCAUCGGGCU
Molecule: transfer RNA, 85 nt
Filed under: Felis catus (domestic cat)
Lineage: Eukaryota; Metazoa; Chordata; Mammalia; Carnivora; Felidae
Also listed under: 3 other names
Rfam family: tRNA
About the family: Transfer RNA (tRNA) molecules are approximately 80 nucleotides in length.
Source: Rfam by way of RNAcentral